Pocillopora damicornis (cauliflower coral) is the source of this 581-nucleotide long non-coding RNA. NCBI's taxonomy places the organism in Eukaryota, Metazoa, Cnidaria, Anthozoa, Scleractinia, Pocilloporidae. The record is from RefSeq and is a predicted model, not a curated record.
AUGUGCAAGCCGACCAGGAUUCCACGGAAUUCAGCUAUCAUUUCGCUUCCUUCCAACUUUGAAUGUGUUUGGAAAUCAAUACCAUAGUUUCAUUUAGUUGAUAAAAAACUCAUUGGAUCUUUAAAAGUUCUGUUACCGAGCAAUUCAACGAUCGAACGAAACAGCUGUCGGACCUGAACAGCAGACCUGGCAGAUUGUCGAUGUGAUUGGAGAGACAGUGUUACAUGCAACUGGGCCCAAAGUUGUUACACAGCCACCUCAGUGACAUGAAGCUGCAGAGAUUCUAUGCCUCAUGAAGAUAAAAUCUGCCUUCCAUCAUGUCAAUCAAAGAUGGAAGUAUACCUCAUGUGCAAAGAGGAGAUCACAGUUUGUAGUGAAGAGGCAGAGGCAAUUUCUUAGUCAUCCUUCACCGUCAUGUGGGAGGCAAAUUUCAAGACUGAUAAUUCCUAAGUGCUGAAAGAGAACAGUACUAUCAGAGCAGGGUGAAAGUGGAACAGCAGCCAAAGAAAUACUUGUCACUGAUCGUUGAUGGAAUGGACCAAGCACAGACAAACAUUCCACAUUUUACAAGUAUCUCUAAG